GUGUCAGCAGCCGCGGUAAUACGUAGGUGGCAAGCGUUGUCCGGAUUUACUGGGCGUAAAGGAUGUGUAGGCGGAUAUUUAAGUGAGAUGUGAAAUCCCCGGGCUUAACUUGGGGGCUGCAUUUCAAACUGGAUGUCUAGAGUGCAGGAGAGGAGAACGGAAUUCCUAGUGUAGCGGUGAAAUGCGUAGAGAUUAGGAAGAACACCAGUGGCGAAGGCGGUUCUCUGGACUGUAACUGACGCUGAGGCACGAAAGCGUGGGGAGAAAACAGGAUUAGAUACCCUGGUAGUCCACGCCGUAAACGAUGAGUACUAGGUGUAGGAGGUAUCGACCCCUUCUGUGCCGCAGUAAACACAAUAAGUACUCCGCCUGGGAAGUACGAUCGCAAGAUUAAAACUUAAAGGAAUUGGCGG
This 413-nucleotide ribosomal RNA is filed under the name uncultured bacterium. RNAcentral's name for it is "bacterial SSU rRNA". It matches the Rfam family "Bacterial small subunit ribosomal RNA", at positions 505 to 916 of the family's 1533-position model. The record is from RNAcentral.